CCCAGACUCCUACGGGAGGCAGCAGUGGGGGAUAUUGCACAAUGGGGGAGACCCUGAUGCAGCAACGCCGCGUGAGUGAAGAAGUAUUUCGGUAUGUAAAGCUCUAUCAGCAGGGAAGAGAAUGACGGUACCUGACUAAGAAGCCCCGGCUAACUACGUGCCAGCAGCCGCGGUAAUACGUAGGGGGCGAGCGUUAUCCGGAUUUACUGGGUGUAAAGGGGGCGCAGACGGCAGCGCAAGCCAGGAGUGAAAGCCCGGGGCCCAACCCCGGGACUGCUCUUGGAACUGCGCGGCUGGAGUGCAGGAGGGGCAGGCGGAAUUCCUGGUGUAGCGGUGAAAUGCGUAGAUAUCAGGAGGAACACCGGCGGCGAAGGCGGCCUGCUGGACCGUGACUGACGUUGAGGCUCGAGAGCGUGGGGAGCAAACAGGAUUAGAUACCCCCGUAGGU
Molecule: ribosomal RNA, 448 nt
Filed under: uncultured bacterium
Lineage: Bacteria
Description: partial 16S ribosomal RNA
Rfam family: Bacterial small subunit ribosomal RNA
Source: RNAcentral